Molecule: long non-coding RNA, 1470 nt
Organism: Hippocampus comes (tiger tail seahorse)
Lineage: Eukaryota; Metazoa; Chordata; Actinopteri; Syngnathiformes; Syngnathidae
Exons: 4
Source: RefSeq, a predicted model, not a curated record
UAAGCUCCAGCACAGCCGUGACAAUCAUGUUGAGAAGGAGAUUAGAAACUGGAUGGAUGGCUGGAUGUUUGUAUGUCUGAAACCAAAUUGUUAUAUGGCUUUUAUAUAGUUUUUUUUUUUCUAUUUGCAUGGCGGGCCGCAGAUGGCCCACAGGCCAUAGAUUUCCAAGCUUCAAGAUCCAGGAAGACAAGGGGCUGUUUUUGUGUUGGAAUGCAGAGACUUGUCCAUACCUGCAGCAAGACCAGGAUGGGAUUUAAAACACACAUAAAUACGGAGAGGGAAAGAGAGAGAGUGAGGCAGCUGCUGGACGCCAAGGCACAGCUCAAGCUAACAGCAGGCCCUGAGGCUCCAGCUCCAGCUGAACUCUGUGCUUCUGGUUGUCCAGGAACUCUUCCAGCUUCAGCUCCACAGUGAAUGUCUGGUCCCACGCCUGCUCCCCGACAGUUUUCCAUGCUGUCUGGCCCACCACUGUGUUAUCCAGCUUGAGCACGGCGCUCACCUCAGCUGCACGUAGACAUACAGCGUAUUUAGUAUGCAGGUGACAUCCCUACACAAAAAGCUGACAAGGCCAAGCAUUAGCACAUUUUAUAUAUUCAGCGUUUUUUUGGUCACUUGGUUUAUGCUAUUGAGUUUAAGAUUCCCCAAAACCUGGCAGACUCGAAAAACUUAAAUGUCAAUCUGUUGGAUAUAUUGCUCCUCUUUUUUUGGCAAAGAUGUGAAAGAUUAAAACCCAUUUUAAAAUAUUGCGGAGAUAUUUAAAAGCAUGUUUGGUAGUUAUUCGAGUGUAUGUGUAGAAUAAUGAAAGAUGAAUGAUGAAAGUGGCCGUGGAAAGAAAAGGUGUUGAGUAACUUCUGAUGUGAGAACACCGACAGCCCAAUGUGAGGAUUUCCUGUCUCGCAAUCAUAGACCCAAUAUUAAAAUUGCCCAGAUGCAACAUCUGAUGUUAGCAAACGUAAUGCAUUUUGACUUGCUUCAGUGGCAAUGUGCAGGGAUAGCAAAAGAACAUGCUUGGGCAAAAAAAAGAAAAACUCAUGUUUUUCCAGUUGUUCGUAUUACAGAGGUACCAGGACAACUGCUACAAAAAAUGUGGUGGGUUUGGGUGCUGGAACAGAUGAAUGGAAUUUCAAAUCAUUUCAGUAGGAAAUACUGAUCUACAAAUACAUUUUGUGGUGAGUCUUGGAGCCAAUUAAACUGUUCUGUCAAGAACUAUUGUACAAUGGAAUGCCGGGACAUGUUUCGUGAGAUACUACCCUUUGUGGUGAUGUAGGAAAUUAUCCAAUUUCAUUUAAUUUGUCAAAAGUUGAUGAUGUAUGAAUUGCAAACAUGUCUUUGUACAUCUAGCUAUGCCAGCAAUGUAAGAUUACAGGCAGAACAAUUAAAUGCUCUUCCAUUAGAUGGGAGAAGGUGGAAGGCGCAAUAAGGCGCAAUGCCUAAGUGGUCUUUAAAAAAAAAAAAAAAAGUGUUCAUUCA